GGCGUGCCUAAUACAUGCAAGUCGAGCGAACGGACGAGAAGCUUGCUUCUCUGAUGUUAGCGGCGGACGGGUGAGUAACACGUGGAUAACCUACCUAUAAGACUGGGAUAACUUCGGGAAACCGGAGCUAAUACCGGAUAAUAUUUUGAACCGCAUGGUUCAAAAGUGAAAGACGGUCUUGCUGUCACUUAUAGAUGGAUCCGCGCUGCAUUAGCUAGUUGGUAAGGUAACGGCUUACCAAGGCAACGAUGCAUAGCCGACCUGAGAGGGUGAUCGGCCACACUGGAACUGAGACACGGUCCAGACUCCUACGGGAGGCAGCAGUAGGGAAUCUUCCGCAAUGGGCGAAAGCCUGACGGAGCAACGCCGCGUGAGUGAUGAAGGUCUUCGGAUCGUAAAACUCUGUUAUUAGGGAAGAACAUAUGUGUAAGUAACUGUGCACAUCUUGACGGUACCUAAUCAGAAAGCCACGGCUAACUACGUGCCAGCAGCCGCGGUAAUACGUAGGUGGCAAGCGUUAUCCGGAAUUAUUGGGCGUAAAGCGCGCGUAGGCGGUUUUUUAAGUCUGAUGUGAAAGCCCACGGCUCAACCGUGGAGGGUCAUUGGAAACUGGAAAACUUGAGUGCAGAAGAGGAAAGUGGAAUUCCAUGUGUAGCGGUGAAAUGCGCAGAGAUAUGGAGGAACACCAGUGGCGAAGGCGACUUUCUGGUCUGUAACUGACGCUGAUGUGCGAAAGCGUGGGGAUCAAACAGGAUUAGAUACCCUGGUAGUCCACGCCGUAAACGAUGAGUGCUAAGUGUUAGGGGGUUUCCGCCCCUUAGUGCUGCAGCUAACGCAUUAAGCACUCCGCCUGGGGAGUACGACCGCAAGGUUGAAACUCAAAGGAAUUGACGGU
This 895-nucleotide ribosomal RNA is filed under the name uncultured bacterium. RNAcentral's name for it is "bacterial SSU rRNA". It matches the Rfam family "Bacterial small subunit ribosomal RNA", at positions 41 to 917 of the family's 1533-position model. The record is from RNAcentral.